RNAcentral lists this ribosomal RNA (425 nucleotides) under uncultured bacterium. Its description in RNAcentral is "partial 16S ribosomal RNA". It matches the Rfam family "Bacterial small subunit ribosomal RNA", at positions 354 to 796 of the family's 1533-position model. The record is from RNAcentral.
GUGGGGAAUAUUGGACAAUGGGCGCAAGCCUGAUCCAGCCAUGCCGCGUGAGUGAUGAAGGCCUUAGGGUUGUAAAGCUCUUUCACCGAUGAAGAUAAUGACGGUAGUCGGAGAAGAAGCCCCGGCUAACUUCGUGCCAGCAGCCGCGGUAAUACGAAGGGGGCUAGCGUUGUUCGGAUUUACUGGGCGUAAAGCGCACGUAGGCGGUUUGUUAAGUCAGGGGUGAAAUCCCGGAGCUCAACUCCGGAACUGCCUUUGAUACUGGCAAGCUAGAGUCCGGAAGAGGUAAGUGGAACUCCUAGUGUAGAGGUGGAAUUCGUAGAUAUUAGGAAGAACACCAGUGGCGAAGGCGGCUUACUGGUCAGGAACUGACGCUGAGGUGCGAAAGCGUGGGGAGCAAACAGGAUUAGAUACCCGGGUAGUCC